This 993-nucleotide ribosomal RNA is filed under the name Clostridioides difficile. RNAcentral's name for it is "partial 23S ribosomal RNA". It matches the Rfam family "Bacterial large subunit ribosomal RNA", at positions 683 to 1682 of the family's 2925-position model. The record is from RNAcentral. Lineage: Bacteria; Bacillati; Bacillota; Clostridia; Peptostreptococcales; Peptostreptococcaceae.
UUUAACUGAGCGUUCAGUUACUUGACGUAGACCCGAAACCGGGCGACCUACCCAUGAGCAGGAUGAAGCGAAAGUAAAAUUUCGUGGAGGUCCGAACCCACGAGCGUUGAAAAGCUCGGGGAUGACUUGUGGGUAGCGGUGAAAUUCCAAUCGAGCCCGGAGAUAGCUGGUUCUCCCCGAAAUAGCUUUAGGGCUAGCCUCAAGGUGAGAGAUACGGAGGUAGAGCACUGAAUGUCCUAGGGGGUAUUGCACCUACCGAAGACUAUCAAACUCCGAAUGCCGUCAUCUUAUACUUGGGAGUCAGACUGUGGGUGAUAAGAUUCAUAGUCGAAAGGGCAACAGCCCAGAUCGUCAGCUAAGGUCCCUAAAUGUAAGUUAAGUGGUAAAGGAUGUGGGAUUGCACAGACAACCAGGAUGUUGGCUUAGAAGCAGCCACUCAUUCAAAGAGUGCGUAAUAGCUCACUGGUCGAGUGAUCCUGCGCCGAAGAUUUCCGGGGCUAAAACUUACUACCGAAGCUACGGCAUCAGUAAUGAUGGGUAGGGGAGCUUCCCAUACGGGUUGAAGCAUGACCGUAAGGACAUGUGGACAGUAUGGGAGUGAGAAUGUUGGCAUGAGUAGCGAGAUGUGGGUGAGAAUCCCACAGGCCGUAAACCCAAGGUUUCCAGGGGAAGGUUCGUCCGCCCUGGGUUAGUCGGGACCUAAGCUGAGGCCGAAAGGCGUAGGUGAUGGACAACAGGUUGAUAUUCCUGUACUACCGAUAACCGUUUGAGAGAAGGGAUGACACAGUAGGAUAAGCUAAGCACACUGUUGGUUAUGUGUGCCCAAGCAUUGAGGCAGUCAAAGUAGGCAAAUCCGCUUUGAUAAUGCUAGGAUGUGAUGGGGAGCGAAAUUUAGUAGCGAAGUAGCUGAUUUCACACUGUCAAGAAAAGUCUCUAUCGAGGUUAAAGGUACCCGUACCGCAAACCGACACAGGUGGGUGAGGAGAGUAUCCU